RNAcentral lists this ribosomal RNA (492 nucleotides) under uncultured bacterium. RNAcentral describes it as "partial 16S ribosomal RNA". It matches the Rfam family "Bacterial small subunit ribosomal RNA", at positions 29 to 507 of the family's 1533-position model. The record is from RNAcentral.
AGUGAACGCUGGCGGUAGGCCUAACACAUGCAAGUCGAACGGCAGCACAGUAAGAGCUUGCUCUUACGGGUGGCGAGUGGCGGACGGGUGAGGAAUACAUCGGAAUCUACUUUUUCGUGGGGGAUAACGUAGGGAAACUUACGCUAAUACCGCAUACGACCUACGGGUGAAAGCAGGGGAUCUUCGGACCUUGCGCGAUUGAAUGAGCCGAUGUCGGAUUAGCUAGUUGGCGGGGUAAAGGCCCACCAAGGCGACGAUCCGUAGCUGGUCUGAGAGGAUGAUCAGCCACAACUGAACUGGGACCAGGUCCAGGCUCCUAAGGGAGGCAGGAGUGGGGAAUUUUUGACAAUGGGCGGAAACCUGGUCCAGCCAUACCGCGUGGGUGAAAAAGGGCUUUGGGUUGUAAAGCCCUUUUGUUGGGAAAGAAAAGCAGCAGGUUAAUACCCCGCUGUUCUGACGGUACCCAAAGAAUAAGCACCGGCUAACUUCGUG